AGGACAGCGAGGACACUGUUGAUCUCUGUGAGGAAACACUGCAGAUCUCCAUGUUCGUGAAGGAGCUCCCGGCCUCACUGCUGCAUUCUGGGCAACCUGCAUAUCAGUGGGCUCAUAAGCUGGUGCAGCUUGUUGUUAGGCCAUCGCCGGUCCAUUAGGACUUUGGGGUUGGUCACACCGGCUCAGUGGUGCACACAGAAGGUCAAGUCUGGCGCAGGCUGGCAUAUGGAUGGAGCUUUGGAUGCAAGCAGUGGGGCAGAGCUAUGCAUGUCAAUAGGACAGAGGCGUCAUGCCUCCUGGGAAGGUCUUAUCUCUUCUGCUCUGUGCACUAAAGACACGCAACACAGAUUAUGGAUCUGCGCAAAGCAAAGCAUGACUCUCUGGCGCAGCUCGCUUUUGCUAUUGUUUUGUGAAUCAUGAAUGGGAAUUCUGUUUCGGUAAUAACAAAAGCUUGUGUUCUUAAGGCUCAAAAAUCUGUCAUCAUUUACUCACUCUCAUUUUAUUCCAAACCUGUCGUUCAACUGUUUUUGUCAAGUCAAUCUUUAUUUGUAUAGUGCUAUAUUGUUUCAAAGCAGCUUCACAGUGAUGAACAGGAAAAUAACGAUCA
This is a long non-coding RNA of Rhinichthys klamathensis goyatoka, 607 nucleotides long. RefSeq lists it as uncharacterized. The transcript is spliced from 3 exons. NCBI's taxonomy places the organism in Eukaryota, Metazoa, Chordata, Actinopteri, Cypriniformes, Leuciscidae. The record is from RefSeq and is a predicted model, not a curated record.